This 1478-nucleotide long non-coding RNA is filed under the name Anas platyrhynchos platyrhynchos (common mallard). RNAcentral describes it as "lncRNA (ENSAPLG00000030852.1)". The record is from RNAcentral. Lineage: Eukaryota; Metazoa; Chordata; Aves; Anseriformes; Anatidae.
ACGCUGGGACAUCUCGCCGGGACGUCAUCUGUCCCCUGGGAAGGGAUUUGGGGUCAGGGACCGGGUGGGGGGGAGUGGAGGCUCACCCGGAUGCUGGCACCAGGCUCCCCGGGGUCACCCUGUGGAGACAGCACCCGCGUCGGUCCCACCACCCCAACAGCCCUGCCACCAUGUCCCCAUGUCCCCUGAGCCCCCCAGCGGCUGGCUCCAGCAGGGGACCAGCCCCUCAUUUUUCCCCACAGCCCCUGGUGCCUGCAGGGCACCGCGCGUUCCUCUGCGGGGUCAAAUAUGGUGAUGGUGAUGAUGGUGAUGGUGAUGGUGAUGAUGAUGAUGAUGAUGAUGUACCUUCAUCCCAGCUGGGCCCUGGGUCCCCGGGGGGCCAGCGGUGCCCUGCAGGGAACAAGGGAACAUUUCGUCCUCGUGGUGCCCGCUGGUGGCACGGCUCCUCAGGACGAGGAGGGGGUGGCAGGACAGCACGAUCCCAGCAUGGGGACAACGGGGACACUGGGGGGGACCCUUACCGGAGGUCCUGGUGGUCCCGGCUCUCCCUGGUUGCCCUGGGGGGGGAGGAAGAGAUGUGGGCAGCGGGUCCCCGCUGCACGGUGGCUCUGGGCACCCGCGCCAAGCAGGGACAAGCACCGCCAGAUCCCACCAGGAUGCGCCGUGCCAAGCGCCCAUGGGGCAAGAACCAGGGGGACAGGGACAUGCAGGGGGACACGGGGACACGCAGGGGGACACGGGGACCUACCGGGCGUCCCAGCACGCCGGGGAAGCCUGGCAAGCCCUGCAAAGAAGCACGUUAGAGCCAGGGGGGAAGCAGGAACCCAGCACCCCCAAGCAGCCCCGCUUGCCCCAAAAGCUCCCCAGGGGAUGAGCACGGUGCCACCGCGCAGUACCCGGCUGUGGGGUACUUACUGGGGGGCCGGGGGGCCCUCUAAAGCCCUGGGGGCCCUGUGGGGGAGGGAAGGAGGCAAACAAGAUGUGAAUGCUCCCGUUGGGGCUGGUGGCAGCUGCUGUGGGGCCACGGGAACUUCCCACCCCUCCCGGAACGCAGCCCCCCUGCAUCCCCCACUCACCGGUUUCCCCUCGGGGCCGGCCAGACCCCUCUCUCCUGGGAGGCCCUGGAAGAAGAGGUGGAGGCAGUGGGGUGGAGAUGGGGCCGUGGGGAUGGGGAUGAGGAUGGAUGGAGACCAUGGGGAUGGGGAGGAUGGGGAUGAUGGAGACCAUGGAAAUGGAGAACAUGAGUAUGAGGAUGGGGAUGGAGACCAUGGGGAUGAUGAGGAUGAUGGAAACGGAGGUGGAGACCAUGGGGAUGAGGAGAACGGGGAUGAUGGAGAUGGGGUUGGAGACCAUGGGGAUGAGGAUGAGGAUGGGGAUGAUGGAGACGGGGAUGGAGACCAUGGGGGUGAGGAGGAUGUUGGAAACGGAGGUGGAGACCAUGGGGAUGAGGAGAAUGGGGAUGAUGGAGACGGGGUUGG